UACGGGGGGGGCGAGCGUUGUUCGGAAUUACUGGGCGGAAAGGGCGCGUAGGCGGUUGGAUAAGUCAGCUGUGAAAACCACGAGCUCAACUUGUGGCCUGCAGUUGAGACUGUCUGGCUAGAGUGUGGGAGAGGGAAGUGGAAUUCCUGGUGUAGCGGUGAAAUGCGUAGAUAUCAGGAGGAACACCAGUGGCGAAGGCGGCUACCUGGCCCACUCUUGACGCUGAGGCGCGAAAGCUAGGGGAGCAAACGGG
This 253-nucleotide ribosomal RNA is filed under the name uncultured bacterium. RNAcentral's name for it is "partial 16S ribosomal RNA". It matches the Rfam family "Bacterial small subunit ribosomal RNA", at positions 524 to 776 of the family's 1533-position model. The record is from RNAcentral.